UAGCGUAGGGUGCAAGCGUUUAAUCGGAAUUACUGGGCGUAAAGCGUGCGCAGGCGGUUUUGUAAGUCAGAUGUGAAAUCCCCGGGCUUAACCUGGGAACUGCGUUUGAAACUACAAGGCUAGAGUGUGGCAGAGGGGGGUGGAAUUCCACGUGUAGCAGUGAAAUGCGUAGAGAUGUGGAGGAACACCGAUGGCGAAGGCAGCCCCUGGGUUAACACUGACGCUCAGGCACGAAAGCGUGGGGAGCAAACAGG
This 254-nucleotide ribosomal RNA is filed under the name uncultured bacterium. RNAcentral describes it as "partial 16S ribosomal RNA". It matches the Rfam family "Bacterial small subunit ribosomal RNA", at positions 523 to 776 of the family's 1533-position model. The record is from RNAcentral.